CACAAGGGGUGAAGCCUGCGGUUCAAUUGGAGUCAACGCCAGAAAUCUUACCCGGAGAGACAGCAGAAUGAAGGUCAAGCUGAAGACUUUACCAGACAAGCUGAGAGGUGGUGCAUGGCCGUCGCCAGCUCGUGCCGUGAGAUGUCCUGUUAAGUCAGGUAACGAGCGAGAUCCCUGCCUCUAGUUGCCACCAUUACUCUCAGGAGUAGUGGGGCGAAUUAGCGGGACCGCCGCAGUUAAUGCGGAGGAAGGAAGGGGCCACGGCAGGUCAGUAUGCCCCGAAACUCUGGGGCCACACGCGGGCUGCAAUGGUAACGACAAUUGGUUUCGAAUCCGAAAGGAUGAGGUAAUCCUCAAACGUUACCACAGUUAUGACUGAGGGCUGCAACUCGCCCUCACGAAUAUGGAAUCCCUAGUAACUGCGUGUCAUUAUCGCGCGGUGAAUACGUCCCUGCUCCUUGCACACACCGCCCGUCGUUUCAUUGAAGUGAGCUUUUAGCGAGGUGACGUCUAAUUGGCGUUAUCGAACUUGAGGUUCGUGACAAGGGAAAAGUCGUAACAAGGUGACCGUAGGGGAACCUGCCGUCGGAUCACCUCCUU
This 600-nucleotide ribosomal RNA is filed under the name uncultured marine crenarchaeote. Its description in RNAcentral is "bacterial SSU rRNA". It matches the Rfam family "Archaeal small subunit ribosomal RNA", at positions 880 to 1478 of the family's 1478-position model. The record is from RNAcentral. Lineage: Archaea; Thermoproteati; Thermoproteota.